AAAAAAGUCAUAAAAUUUACAAUGUUGCUUUCAACAAAAACACAUUCAGCCUGCCUGCCUGCUGCCUGCUGCCUAGAGCCUGCUUCAGCGAUAAAUCCUCGCACUCAACAAAAUACAUAAACGAUUUAUAGUUGAACAAACGGCACAAAAUGCAACAAUAGCCAAAAAAAAAAAAGAAGAAAAAUACAGAAAUACAAAAAAUACAACAGCAAAAAAAGCAAGACAAGGGGCACAGUAGCUAACGGCCAGCGCCUCAGCUAUAGGAACAAGUUUUCCUGCUGUUACCAAAUCCCGGCGCAACAUAAAUCUUUAAUGGAAAAUCUUGGCAGCAGGCGAAAGACCAUAUGCAGCGAGGGCAGUCCAAACAGAAACUGAUAUACCAAAAAAUAAACAAGCAACAAAGCUUUUAGUCUCUAGCUUUUGUGGCUUAUAAUAACGAAUGGAAUGAGAGACUCAGCUCGUUGCCCUGAUCCAGAAUAUAUAGCUUAAGAGCCUGAUUUCACAUUUUCAAUGGAUCUAUGUACCCAAUAAAGGAGAGGAAAGAAAAGUUGAACCCACAACUUACUUGACAA
Molecule: small RNA, 572 nt
Filed under: Drosophila mojavensis
Lineage: Eukaryota; Metazoa; Arthropoda; Insecta; Diptera; Drosophilidae
Description: GI26412
Source: RNAcentral